AGGACAGAUUUUAAAUAAAUAAACGCACGCUAAAAAAAAAAAAAAAAAAAAUAUUCUAGUAUGAGAAAUUAAUGAUUUAAGUCCUUCUUAAAUGAGGCCAUUUACCCAUAGAGGGUGCCAGGCCCGUAUAACGUUAAUGAUUACUAGAUGAUGUUUCCAAAGAGUCGUGUUGCUUGAUAGUGCAGCACUAAGUGGGUGGUAAACUCCAUCUAAAACUAAAUAUAACCAUGAGACCGAUAGUAAACAAGUACCGUGAGGGAAAGUUGAAAAGAACUCUGAAUAGAGAGUUAAACAGUACGUGAAACUGCUUAGAGGUUAAGCCCGAUGAACCUGAAUAUCCGUUAUGGAAAAUUCAUCAUUAAAAUUGUAAUAUUUAAAUAAUAUUAUUAAGAAUAAUGUGCAUUUUUUCCAUAUAAGGACAUUGUAAUCUAUUAGCAUAUCCCAAAUUUAUCAUAAAAUAUAACUUAUAGUUUAUUCCAAUUAAAUUGCUUGCAUUUUAACACAGAAUAAAUGUUAUUAAUUUGAUAAAGUGCUGAUAGAUUUAUAUUAUUACAGAGCGUUAAUUUUUCGGAAUUAUAUAAUGGCAUAAUUAUCAUUGAUUUUUGUGUUUAUUAUAUGCUCUUGUAUGAUUAACAAUGCGAAAGAUUCAGGAUACCUUCGGGACCCGUCUUGAAACACGGACCAAGGAGUCUAACAUAUGUGCAAGUUAUUGGGAUGUAAACCUAAUAGCGUAAUUAACUUGACUAAUAAUGGGAUUAGUUUUUUAGCUAUUUAUAGCUAAUUAACACAAUCCCGGGGCGUUCUAUAUAGUUAUGUAUAAUGUAUAUUUAUAUUAUUUAUGCCUCUAACUGGAACGUACCUUGAGCAUAUAUGCUGUGACCCGAAAGAUGGUGAACUAUACUUGAUCAGGUUGAAGUCAGGGGAAACCCUGAUGGAAGACCGAAACAGUUCUGACGUGCAAAUCGAUUGUCAGAAUUGAGUAUAGGGGCGAAAGACCAAUCGAACCAUCUAGUAGCUGGUUCCUUCCGAAGUUUCCCUCAGGAUAGCUGGUGCAUUUUAAUAUUAUAUAAAAUAAUCUUAUCUGGUAAAGCGAAUGAUUAGAGGCCUUAGGGUCGAAACGAUCUUAACCUAUUCUCAAACUUUAAAUGGGUAAGAACCUUAACUUUCUUGAUAUGAAGUUCAAGGUUAUGAUAUAAUGUGCCCAGUGGGCCACUUUUGGUAAGCAGAACUGGCGCUGUGGGAUGAACCAAACGUAAUGUUACGGUGCCCAAAUUAACAACUCAUGCAGAUACCAUGAAAGGCGUUGGUUGCUUAAAACAGCAGGACGGUGAUCAUGGAAGUCGAAAUCCGCUAAGGAGUGUGUAACAACUCACCUGCCGAAGCAACUAGCCCUUAAAAUGGAUGGCGCUUAAGUUGUAUACCUAUACAUUACCGCUAAAGUAGAUGAUUUAUAUUACUUGUGAUAUAAAUUUUGAAACUUUAGUGAGUAGGAAGGUACAAUGGUAUGCGUAGAAGUGUUUGGCGUAAGCCUGCAUGGAGCUGCCAUUGGUACAGAUCUUGGUGGUAGUAGCAAAUAAUCGAAUGAGACCUUGGAGGACUGAAGUGGAGAAGGGUUUCGUGUGAACAGUGGUUGAUCACGAGUUAGUCGGUCCUAAGUUCAAGGCGAAAGCCGAAAAUUUUCAAGUAAAACAAAAAUGCCUAACUAUAUAAACAAAGCGAAUAUAAUACACUUGAAUAAUUUUGAACGAAAGGGAAUACGGUUCCAAUUCCGUAACCUGUUGAGUAUCCGUUUGUUAUUAAAUAUGGGCCUCGUGCUCAUCCUGGCAACAGGAACGACCAUAAAGAAGCCGUCGAGAGAUAUCGGAAGAGUUUUCUUUUCUGUUUUAUAGCCGUACUACCAUGGAAGUCUUUCGCAGAGAGAUAUGGUAGAUGGGCUAGAAGAGCAUGACAUAUACUGUUGUGUCGAUAUUUUCUCCUCGGACCUUGAAAAUUUAUGGUGGGGACACGCAAACUUCUCAACAGGCCGUACCAAUAUCCGCAGCUGGUCUCCAAGGUGAAGAGUCUCUAGUCGAUAGAAUAAUGUAGGUAAGGGAAGUCGGCAAAUUAGAUCCGUAACUUCGGGAUAAGGAUUGGCUCUGAAGAUUGAGAUAGUCGGGCUUGAUUGGGAAACAAUAACAUGGUUUAUGUGCUCGUUCUGGGUAAAUAGAGUUUCUAGCAUUUAUGUUAGUUACUUGUUCCCCGGAUAGUUUAGUUACGUAGCCAAUUGUGGAACUUUCUUGCUAAAAUUUUUAAGAAUACUAUUUGGGUUAAACCAAUUAGUUCUUAUCAAUUAUAACGAUUAUCAAUUAACAAUCAAUUCAGAACUGGCACGGACUUGGGGAAUCCGACUGUCUAAUUAAAACAAAGCAUUGUGAUGGCCCUAGCGGGUGUUGACACAAUGUGAUUUCUGCCCAGUGCUCUGAAUGUCAAAGUGAAGAAAUUCAAGUAAGCGCGGGUCAACGGCGGGAGUAACUAUGACUCUCUUAAGGUAGCCAAAUGCCUCGUCAUCUAAUUAGUGACGCGCAUGAAUGGAUUAACGAGAUUCCUACUGUCCCUAUCUACUAUCUAGCGAAACCACAGCCAAGGGAACGGGCUUGGAAUAAUUAGCGGGGAAAGAAGACCCUUUUGAGCUUGACUCUAAUCUGGCAGUGUAAGGAGACAUAAGAGGUGUAGAAUAAGUGGGAGAUAUUAGACCUCGGUUUGGUAUCGUCAAUGAAAUACCACUACUCUUAUUGUUUCCUUACUUACUUGAUUAAAUGGAACGUGUAUCAUUUCCUAGCCAUUAUACGGAUAUAUUUAUUAUAUCUUAUGGUAUUGGGUUUUGAUGCAAGCUUCUUGAUCAAAGUAUCACGAGUUUGUUAUAUAAUCGCAAACAAAUUCUUUAAUAAAACGAUGCAUUUAUGUAUUUUUGAUUUGAAAAUUUGGUAUAACUCCAAUUACUCAGGUAUGAUCCAAUUCAAGGACAUUGCCAGGUAGGGAGUUUGACUGGGGCGGUACAUCUCUCAAAUAAUAACGGAGGUGUCCCAAGGCCAGCUCAGUGCGGACAGAAACCACACAUAGAGCAAAAGGGCAAAUGCUGACUUGAUCUCGGUGUUCAGUACACACAGGGACAGCAAAAGCUCGGCCUAUCGAUCCUUUUGGUUUAAAGAGUUUUUAACAAGAGGUGUCAGAAAAGUUACCAUAGGGAUAACUGGCUUGUGGCGGCCAAGCGUUCAUAGCGACGUCGCUUUUUGAUCCUUCGAUGUCGGCUCUUCCUAUCAUUGUGAAGCAAAAUUCACCAAGCGUUGGAUUGUUCACCCAUGCAAGGGAACGUGAGCUGGGUUUAGACCGUCGUGAGACAGGUUAGUUUUACCCUACUAAUGACAAAACGUUGUUGCGACAGCAUUCCUGCGUAGUACGAGAGGAACCGCAGGUACGGACCAAUGGCACAAUACUUGUUCGAGCGAACAGUGGUAUGACGCUACGUCCGUUGGAUUAUGCCUGAACGCCUCUAAGGUCGUAUCCGUGCUGGACUGCAAUGAUAAAUAAGGGGCAAUUUGCAUUGUAUGGCUUCUAAACCAUUUAAAGUUUAUAAUUUAUUUUAUAAACGACAAUGGAUGUGAUGCCAAUGUAAUUUGUAACAUAGUAAAUUAGGAGGAUCUUCGAUCACCUGAUGCCGCGCUAGUUACAUAUAAAAGCAUUAUUUAAUACAAUGACAAAGCCUAGAAUCAAUUGUAAACGACUUUUGUAACAGGCAAGGUGUUGUAAGUGGUUGAGCAGCUGCCAUACUGCGAUCCACUGAAGCUUAUCCUUUGCUUGAUGAUUCGA
Drosophila mauritiana is the source of this 3846-nucleotide ribosomal RNA. The record is from RefSeq and is a predicted model, not a curated record. NCBI's taxonomy places the organism in Eukaryota, Metazoa, Arthropoda, Insecta, Diptera, Drosophilidae.